This is a long non-coding RNA of Heterocephalus glaber (naked mole-rat), 1246 nucleotides long. NCBI's taxonomy places the organism in Eukaryota, Metazoa, Chordata, Mammalia, Rodentia, Bathyergidae. The record is from Ensembl.
GCCCCAGCAAGGGACGCCCGCCUCAGCCCCGUUUCCCCGGAGUCCGGAGCGCGCGGGGGGGCGCCUGCGACCCGGCCCCCUCGCCAGACGGCGGAAGGGGGUGGUAGCUAUCCUUCCCGGGGCGGUGAGGGGCAGGGUCGUGCAGUUUGAAAGGUCAGGUUGUUUGGUGACAUCUGGGGCCCGUCUUGUAAAGAAUAAGUUUGGGAGGGGCGUCUGCAUCGCUGGCACGAACGCUCGGGGCAGGCGUGCAGGCGAGGGGAAGCGCGUGUCGUGACGGGAGGCGAUGAGAUCAGCCUGAAUAACCGCAGCACGGGGCCAGGCAAUGCAGCCAGUCACGCAGCCGCUGCAGGCCGGGCGCAGCGUCUCCUUCGGUGGCCCCGCCGCCCCGAGCGCCGGUUCCAAUAGAGGGAGCCGGGGGCGGAAUAGCCCCUCCCAAGCCGGGCCGGUGAGGGCGUCAGAAAUAUUCCGAGGGGACGGCGAGGCAGCUGAGAGCCCAGGAGAAAGCCCAACAAAAUGGGUCUUGCACGGUCAAGGGGAUGGAUUCUAUUAGGAAGUUACCUUAAGAGACGCACGGUGAAAAUCACCGCUGUGAAUCAGUGUUCUACUCUGUACCCUCAGUAGGUAACUUUAAAAACUGUAACAUUGAACUCAGAAGUCAUUAAAAUAUGCUUUUAAUUUGCUUAUGUUACUUCGUUUAACAGGCAGUAGACACAGCUUGCAUAUUUGUGCAUGAAAUUUAAUCUAUACACGCAAGUCUGGAGGCUUGGUUUGGCAAGAGGAAUAAUUGUACUAUGCAAGGCACUGGUCUUCAUCUGAAGAUUUAUCAGCAUACAAGACAGAUGUGGUCUCUUGCCUUGGAUCACACAGUUAAUGGAGGAGCUGGAACCAGAAAAAAAACUGUAGAUUUUUAAUUAAAAGAACUUCCAUUAAUCAAAUGCUGACUCUAUACCAGGCCCGAAGUGUUUCACCUACACUAAGUCAUAUAAUCUCUACUUAUGGUAGGGCAGAACACACCUUCCCACUCCUAGGGCCUCCUGGCCCAUCUCUCCUGCCUCCUUUUCUCUGCCCAAGAGGGAAAUGGCUUAUCUGUGUUUGGAAAGAUUAACAGAGCCCAAGUAAUUCAGUCCCAUCUCUUAUCUCUCGUUUUUGGUAGGCAGAACUGGCUGUCUGAAAAAAGUUUGUUCAGCUUUGCUCUUACAGAUCCUAUGGAGAACUGGGGCAGAAGAUCAGCAAGACACAUACUGGG